Molecule: non-coding RNA, 30 nt
Filed under: Rattus norvegicus (Norway rat)
Lineage: Eukaryota; Metazoa; Chordata; Mammalia; Rodentia; Muridae
Source: RNAcentral
UAGUGCUGGUUUUCCUGUGACUAGAACUAC